RNAcentral lists this ribosomal RNA (389 nucleotides) under uncultured bacterium. RNAcentral describes it as "bacterial SSU rRNA". It matches the Rfam family "Bacterial small subunit ribosomal RNA", at positions 355 to 754 of the family's 1533-position model. The record is from RNAcentral.
UGGGGAAUCUUGGACAAUGGGGGCAACCCUGAUCCAGCCAUGCCGCGUGAGGGAUGACGGCCUUCGGGUUGUAAACCUCUUUCAGCUCCGACGAAGCGAAAGUGACGGUAGGAGCAGAAGAAGCACCGGCUAACUACGUGCCAGCAGCCGCGGUAAUACGUAGGGUGCAAGCGUUGUCCGGAAUUAUUGGGCGUAAAGAGCUCGUAGGCGGUCCGUUGCGUCUGCCGUGAAAACCCGGAGCUCAACUCCGGGCCUGCGGUGGAUACGGGGCGGACUAGAGUCCGGUAGGGGGAGACUGGAAUUCCUGGUGUAGCGGUGGAAUGCGCAGAUAUCAGGAGGAACACCGGUGGCGAAGGCGGGUCUCUGGGCCGGAACUGACGCUGAGGAGC